RNAcentral lists this small RNA (117 nucleotides) under Marmota monax (woodchuck). Lineage: Eukaryota; Metazoa; Chordata; Mammalia; Rodentia; Sciuridae. The record is from RNAcentral.
AUCAGGCUUGGUGAUACAUGCCUGAAGUCCCAGAUACUCGGGAGGCUGAGGCAGGAGGGUCACUGGAGCCCAGGAGUUCCAGACCAGCCUGGGCAACAUGGGGAGAUCCAAUCUCAU